UCACUCGGUGACCCCCGGUGUGGAUGU
This 27-nucleotide non-coding RNA is filed under the name Rattus norvegicus (Norway rat). The record is from RNAcentral. Lineage: Eukaryota; Metazoa; Chordata; Mammalia; Rodentia; Muridae.